AUUGAACGCUGGCGGCAUGCCUUACACAUGCAAGUCGAACGGCAGCACGGGAGCAAUCCUGGUGGCGAGUGGCGAACGGGUGAGUAAUAUAUCGGAACGUGCCCAGUCGUGGGGAUAACGUAGCGAAAGCUACGCUAAUACCGCAUACGAUCUAUGGAUGAAAGCGGGGGAUCGCAAGACCUCGCGCGAUUGGAGCGGCCGAUAUCAGAUUAGGUAGUUGGUGAGGUAAAGGCUCACCAAGCCGACGAUCUGUAGCUGGUCUGAGAGGACGACCAGCCACACUGGGACUGAGACACGGCCCAGACUCCUACGGGAGGCAGCAGUGGGGAAUUUUGGACAAUGGGCGCAAGCCUGAUCCAGCAAUGCCGCGUGCAGGAUGAAGGCCUUGGUUGUAACUAGCUUUUGUUACGGUAACGAAACCGGUA
RNAcentral lists this ribosomal RNA (425 nucleotides) under uncultured bacterium. RNAcentral's name for it is "bacterial SSU rRNA". It matches the Rfam family "Bacterial small subunit ribosomal RNA", at positions 30 to 458 of the family's 1533-position model. The record is from RNAcentral.